GGAGGUGCUUGGCAUGCUGGUGCAGCCCUCGGUCUUCAAAACCGAUGUGGGGCGUGAGAAACGUCUCGGGGGGGUUCGAUUCCCCUGCAUUUCCGCCA
This 98-nucleotide transfer RNA is filed under the name Deltaproteobacteria bacterium. RNAcentral describes it as "tRNA-Sec". It matches the Rfam family "Selenocysteine transfer RNA". Lineage: Bacteria; Pseudomonadati; Myxococcota; Myxococcia. The record is from RNAcentral.